AGUCGAGCGGUAACAGGAAUUAGCUUGCUAAUUUGCUGACGAGCGGCGGACGGGUGAGUAACGCGUAGGAAUCUGCCUGGUAGUGGGGGACAACAUGUGGAAACGCAUGCUAAUACCGCAUACGCCCUACGGGGGAAAGGAGGGGAUCUUCGGACCUUUCGCUAUCAGAUGAGCCUGCGUGAGAUUAGCUAGUUGGUGGGGUAAAGGCUCACCAAGGCGACGAUCUCUAGCUGGUCUGAGAGGAUGAUCAGCCACACUGGGACUGAGACACGGCCCACACUCCUACGGGAGGCAGCAGUGGGGAAUAUUGGACAAUGGGCGCAAGCCUGAUCCAGCCAUGCCGCGUGUGUGAAGAAGG
RNAcentral lists this ribosomal RNA (358 nucleotides) under uncultured Oceanospirillaceae bacterium. RNAcentral's name for it is "bacterial SSU rRNA". It matches the Rfam family "Bacterial small subunit ribosomal RNA", at positions 60 to 414 of the family's 1533-position model. Lineage: Bacteria; Pseudomonadati; Pseudomonadota; Gammaproteobacteria; Oceanospirillales; Oceanospirillaceae. The record is from RNAcentral.